UACGAAGGGGGCUAGCGUUGUUCGGAAUCACUGGGCGUAAAGCGCACGUAGGCGGACCUAUAAGUCAGGGGUGAAAUCCCGGGGCUCAACCUCGGAACUGCCUUUGAUACUGCAGGUCUCGAGACCGGAAGAGGUGAGUGGAAUUCCUAGUGUAGAGGUGAAAUUCGUAGAUAUUAGGAAGAACACAAGUGGCGAAGGCGGCUCACUGGUCCGGUUCUGACGCUGAGUUGCGAAAGCGUGGGGAGCAAACAGG
Molecule: ribosomal RNA, 253 nt
Filed under: uncultured bacterium
Lineage: Bacteria
Description: partial 16S ribosomal RNA
Rfam family: Bacterial small subunit ribosomal RNA
Source: RNAcentral